UCCCUUGUAGCUCAGUUGGUAAAGAAUCUGCCUGCAGUGCAGGAAACCCGGGUUCGAUCCCUGGGUUGGGAA
This 72-nucleotide transfer RNA is filed under the name Capra hircus (goat). It matches the Rfam family "tRNA". Rfam says of the family: Transfer RNA (tRNA) molecules are approximately 80 nucleotides in length. Their secondary structure includes four short double-helical elements and three loops (D, anti-codon, and T loops). The record is from Rfam by way of RNAcentral. Lineage: Eukaryota; Metazoa; Chordata; Mammalia; Artiodactyla; Bovidae. RNAcentral also lists the same sequence under 4 other names.